RNAcentral lists this ribosomal RNA (253 nucleotides) under uncultured bacterium. Its description in RNAcentral is "partial 16S ribosomal RNA". It matches the Rfam family "Bacterial small subunit ribosomal RNA", at positions 524 to 776 of the family's 1533-position model. The record is from RNAcentral.
UACAGAGGGGGCAAGCGUUGUUCGGAAUUACUGGGCGUAAAGGGCGCGUAGGCGGCCUUCUAAGUCGAACGUGAAAUCCCUGGGCUCAACCCAGGAACUGCGUCCGAUACUGGAAGGCUUGAAUCCGGGAGAGGGUAGCGGAAUUCCCGGUGUAGUGGUGAAAUGCGUAGAUAUCGGGAGGAACACCAGUGGCGAAGGCGGCUCACUGGACCGGAACUGACGCUGAGGCGCGAAAGCGUGGGGAGCAAACAGG